This 467-nucleotide ribosomal RNA is filed under the name uncultured bacterium. RNAcentral's name for it is "partial 16S ribosomal RNA". It matches the Rfam family "Bacterial small subunit ribosomal RNA", at positions 329 to 792 of the family's 1533-position model. The record is from RNAcentral.
GCCCAGACUCCUACGGGAGGCAGCAGUGAGGAAUAUUGGUCAAUGGGCGAGAGCCUGAACCAGCCAAGUCGCGUGAGGGAAGACGGUCCUAUGGAUUGUAAACCUCUUUUGUCGGGGAGCAAAAAGGCCUCGUGAGGCCACAAGUGAGAGUACCCGAAGAAAAAGCAUCGGCUAACUCCGUGCCAGCAGCCGCGGUAAUACGGAGGAUGCGAGCGUUAUCCGGAUUUUUUGGGUUUAAAGGGUGCGCAGGGGGCGGUGUAAGGCCAGGGAAAAAAUGGGGGGGCUCACCCCGGACGAGCCGUUGAAACUGGCUUGCUAGAGUGGGCGAGAAGUAUGCGGAAUGCGUGGUGUAGCGGUGAAAUGCAUAGAUAUCACGCAGAACUCCGAUUGCGAAGGCAGCAUACCGGCGCCCAACUGACGCUCAGGCACGAAAGCGUGGGUAUCGAACAGGAUUAGAUACCCUGGUA